Non-coding RNA from Pelobates cultripes (western spadefoot toad), 203 nucleotides. NCBI's taxonomy places the organism in Eukaryota, Metazoa, Chordata, Amphibia, Anura, Pelobatidae. The record is from the annotation of a GenBank genome assembly.
GGCCUCAGGCUCUUCGAUGAUGACUGCUGGUGCGCGUUUGGAGGACCUCAUGAGGAUGGCUGACUGGUCAAGGGAAUCUACUUUCCUUGAAUUUUACUUUCGAACAGCCCCUCAUAUGUUUGCUGUAGUAGUGGAUCAGCUUUAAACUUGCAAUAUGAGCCUUCGUGUCUUGUUAUAAAAUUGCAUGAUUUUGCUAUUACAUG